CAGUCAGCCAGUUUGAGCAUUAGCAGUGUGCUGGGCACUGCUGCAGGCCCUGGGGCAACACACAGAAAACUAGCCCUGUCCUGAUGAGCUCCUUGCAAUGGGGGAAGAGGAUGCCAACAGGAUAUUAAGCUCUGCUCUGUGCUUGCCAUUUAUGGAGAAGAGAGGGGCUGUGCAUCUGAUAGUGAGGAUGUGGUCAAAGGGCACAGCCCCAGAGGAAAGCAGCUCCACACGUGGGGGCUGCAGGGGAUCCUCACCCUUUCUCUGUCUCCAGCCUGCAGCAGCCUUCCAUCUCUGUUCUGCCCCAGGGACUUCAAGGAUGUUGAAGCCGCCUUGCAUGCCAUGAAGAACGUGGCCCAGCUCAUCAACGAGCGGAAGCGGAGACUUGAGAACAUCGACAAGAUUGCUCAGUGGCAGAGCUCCAUAGAGGACUGGGAGGGAGAAGAUCUCUUGGUCAGGAGCUCAGAACUCAUCUACUCCGGGGAGCUGACUCGAGUUACACAGCCUCAAGCCAAAAGCCAGCAGCGAAUGUUCUUUCUCUUUGACCACCAGCUCAUCUACUGUAAGAAGGGCCGGCUGGACAUGGACGGCCUGGAGGUGGUGGACCUGGAGGACGGGAAGGACAGAGACCUCCAUGUGAGCAUCAAGAACGCCUUCCGGCUGCACUGUGGCGCCACAGGGGACAGCCACCUGCUGUGCACCAGGAAGCCCGAGCAGAAGCAGCGCUGGCUCAAGGCCUUUGCCAGGGAGAGGGAGCAGGUGCAGCUGGACCA
Molecule: small RNA, 770 nt
Filed under: Pan troglodytes (chimpanzee)
Lineage: Eukaryota; Metazoa; Chordata; Mammalia; Primates; Hominidae
Description: retained intron
Source: RNAcentral